Long non-coding RNA from Mirounga angustirostris (Northern elephant seal), 391 nucleotides. RefSeq lists it as uncharacterized. The record is from RefSeq and is a predicted model, not a curated record. The transcript has 3 exons. Lineage: Eukaryota; Metazoa; Chordata; Mammalia; Carnivora; Phocidae.
GCGAGCUUGGGUGAAGGUCAGUUGGCUGCCUGCUACAAAGGCCCUACCACUUCCAGCCUCCCGGGGGCAGCCCUCGACAAUCAAUGUGUUCAGUGACCAGCUCAGGGCCCUGAGUGCCAGGCUUCACUGUUCUGCUGAAGGACCUUUAAGUGUUGACACGUCUUCAUCUUCCUGCUCUCAUUUACAAAAAAAUACUCCCAAAAAUGUCUUCCAAGGAAAAUUAGUUUGGGGUGUUGCGCCUCACAGGAUGUAAAAGCACAGUUGUGGCAGAAGAAUUUUGAAAACCAGAGAGUGCUACUAAAAUACCAGGCACUGGGGAAGGGAUUCUAAGAGUCCCUGGACUGAGGGGCAGCAAGGAAUUGAGGUCUCUUCACAAGCUGCCAUUUUCUUG